AGCGAACGCUGGCGGCGUGCCUAACACAUGCAAGUCGAACGUGAAAGGGGGCAACCCUGAGUAAAGUGGCGUACGGGUGAGUAACACGUAGGUAAUCUACCCCAAAAUCUGGAAUAACCUGCCGAAAGGCGGGCUAAUACUGGAUAGAGCGACGGAAUCCGUAAUUGGGUUUUUCGGGAAAGGGAGCUCGCAAGAGCCUUCGUUUUGGGAUGAGCCUGCGUCUCAUUAGCUAGUUGGUGAGGUAAUGGCUCACCAAGGCUUUGAUGGGUAGCUGGUCUGAGAGGAUGAUCAGCCACACUGGAACUGAAACACGGUCCAGACUCCUACGGGAGGCAG
This 336-nucleotide ribosomal RNA is filed under the name uncultured Pseudomonadota bacterium. RNAcentral's name for it is "bacterial SSU rRNA". It matches the Rfam family "Bacterial small subunit ribosomal RNA", at positions 29 to 351 of the family's 1533-position model. Lineage: Bacteria; Pseudomonadati; Pseudomonadota. The record is from RNAcentral.